This 174-nucleotide ribosomal RNA is filed under the name uncultured bacterium. RNAcentral describes it as "partial 16S ribosomal RNA". It matches the Rfam family "Bacterial small subunit ribosomal RNA", at positions 335 to 526 of the family's 1533-position model. The record is from RNAcentral.
ACUCCUACGGGAGGCAGCAGUGGGGAAUAUUGCACAAUGGGGGAAACCCUGAUGCAGCGACGCCGCGUGAGCGAAGAAGUAUUUCGGUAUGUAAAGCUCUAUCAGCAGGGAAGAAACUGACGGUACCUGACUAAGAAGCACCGGCUAAAUACGUGCCAGCAGCCGCGGUAAUAC